This 253-nucleotide ribosomal RNA is filed under the name uncultured bacterium. RNAcentral's name for it is "partial 16S ribosomal RNA". It matches the Rfam family "Bacterial small subunit ribosomal RNA", at positions 524 to 776 of the family's 1533-position model. The record is from RNAcentral.
UACGUAGGGUGCGAGCGUUAAUCGGAAUUACUGGGCGUAAAGCGUGCGCAGGCGGUCUUGCAAGCCAGGUGUGAAAUCUCCGGGCUUAACCUGGGAACUGCACUUGUGACUGCAAGGCUGGAGUACGGCAGAGGGGGAUGGAAUUCCGCGUGUAGCAGUGAAAUGCGUAGAUAUGCGGAGGAACACCGAUGGCGAAGGCCAUCCCCUGGGCCUGUACUGACGCUCAUGCACGAAAGCGUGGGGAGCAAGCAGG